RNAcentral lists this ribosomal RNA (301 nucleotides) under uncultured bacterium. Its description in RNAcentral is "partial 16S ribosomal RNA". It matches the Rfam family "Bacterial small subunit ribosomal RNA", at positions 509 to 807 of the family's 1533-position model. The record is from RNAcentral.
CAGCCGCCACGGUAAUACGUAGGGUGCGAGCGUUAAUCGGAAUUACUGGGCGUAAAGCGUGCGCAGGCGGUUCGUUAAGACAGAUGUGAAAUCACCGGGCUUAACCUGGGAACUGCAUUUGUGACUGACGGGCUAGAGUAUGGCAGAGGGGGGUAGAAUUCCACGUGUAGCAGUGAAAUGCGUAGAGAUGUGGAGGAAUACCGAUGGCGAAGGCAGCCCCCUGGGCCAAUACUGACGCUCAUGCACGAAAGCGUGGGGAGCAAACAGGAUUAGAUACCCCCGUAGUCCCUGUCUCUUAUAC